GUCGAGGAUCUUCUGCAAUGGGCGCAAGCCUGACAGAGCGACGCCGCGUGGAGGAUGAAGGCCUUCGGGUUGUAAACUCCUGUCACGGGUUAUGAAUGGCGACGUGCUAACACCACGGCGCUUGACAAAGGCCCGAGAGGAAGCCACGGCUAACUCCGUGCCAGCAGCCGCGGUAAGACGGAGGUGGCAAGCGUUGCUCGGAUUUACUGGGCAUAAAGGGCGCCUAGGCGGUGCGGCAAGUCGACUGUGAAAUCCCUCGGCUCAACCGAGGAAGUGCAGCCGAAACUGCCGCGCUAGAGGACGAGAGGGAAGAGUGGAACUCCUGGUGGAGCGGUGAAAUGCGUAGAUAUCAGGAGGAACGCCGGUGGCGAAAGCGACUCUUUGGCUCGUUCCUGACGCUGACGCGCGAAAGCUAGGGGAGCGAACGGGAUUAGAAACCCGAGUAGUCC
Molecule: ribosomal RNA, 449 nt
Filed under: uncultured bacterium
Lineage: Bacteria
Description: bacterial SSU rRNA
Rfam family: Bacterial small subunit ribosomal RNA
Source: RNAcentral